This is a non-coding RNA of Pelobates cultripes (western spadefoot toad), 290 nucleotides long. The record is from the annotation of a GenBank genome assembly. NCBI's taxonomy places the organism in Eukaryota, Metazoa, Chordata, Amphibia, Anura, Pelobatidae.
CAGCACUCAACACGCUUGCUACAGGGUUUUCCACUUAUACAAUACGUUUCAUGUCGGACCAUCACUUAGCUGGUUUGAGGUUUCACCACGUAUGGCCUUCGCCUCUUUUUUGCCACCUUAAGUUAAUAAUUCUCGCACAACACGGUUAAACUUUAUCUCACGGGCAUUCAACACUAUACGUAUUUCUCCAUCCCUAACAACAAGGCUUCCUAUCCUCCUACCCCAUACAUACCUUACUUAGAGACAUGGCCAAGCGGACGUUCCUGCUAAAACUAAAUACUGGCCAUAGA